CAGCAGCCGCGGUAAUACGGAGGGUGCGAGCGUUAUCCGGAAUUACUGGGUUUAAAGGGUGCGUAGGCGGCCAAGUAAGUCAGGAGUGAAAGUUUGCGGCUCAACCGUAAAAUUGCUUUUGAUACUGCUAGGCUAGAAUUAGGAUGAGGUCAGCGGAAUGUGGCAUGUAGCGGUGAAAUGCAUAGAUAUGCCAUAGAACACCAAUUGCGAAGGCAGCUGGCUGGACCUAUAUUGACGCUGAGGCACGAAAGCGUGGGGAGCGAACAGGAUUAGAUACCCUGGUAGUCCACGCCCUAAACGAUGCUUACUCGACGUAUGUCGCUAGACGAUGUGCGUCCAAGGGAAACCGUUAAGUAAGCCACCUGGGGAGUACGACCGCAAGGUUGAAACUCAAAGGAAUUGACGG
Molecule: ribosomal RNA, 406 nt
Filed under: uncultured bacterium
Lineage: Bacteria
Description: bacterial SSU rRNA
Rfam family: Bacterial small subunit ribosomal RNA
Source: RNAcentral